UAGCAUAAUUACAAAAGCUAUACGAUUCCUGUUGGGUUCAAUGAAUUCGUGGACUUCAACUAAUACAUUGAUAUGCAAUAGUUUGUCAAUAUCAAUUUGCAUAUAUCUAUAAAUGUUAAUUAAAACUAACGGGACCAUCUUUGACCCUAAUUUUGUACUCUUUUCGAUUUUUCUCAAAAAGUAGAGGUCUGACGCGAAUUCUGACCAUCGCACACAAUUCUGUGAACACUUUUCUAUAAGAAACGUCCAUAGCGCGAAUCAAAAUAUUUUUCAAUUCCGUACAAGAAAAAAGAAUAGUCAUGCAUGUUCGUCGGAGAACAACGGCGCGCGUAAGGAACAUGCACGACGAAAAUAGUGUUAGUACUGCCCAAAAAACAUUCACAUUUUCUGCAGUC
This 395-nucleotide unclassified non-coding RNA is filed under the name Bombus terrestris (buff-tailed bumblebee). RNAcentral describes it as "misc RNA ENSBTSG00005030311.1". The record is from RNAcentral. Lineage: Eukaryota; Metazoa; Arthropoda; Insecta; Hymenoptera; Apidae.